RNAcentral lists this long non-coding RNA (409 nucleotides) under Salvia miltiorrhiza (redroot sage). Its description in RNAcentral is "long non-coding RNA (SMIL_LNC005793)". Lineage: Eukaryota; Viridiplantae; Streptophyta; Magnoliopsida; Lamiales; Lamiaceae. The record is from RNAcentral.
UAUCAACACAGAGCAAAGAUUGGCAAGCCAAGGCUUCGGUUUGUUGGUGGCUGAUUCUGGAAAUGUGUAUAUGAGAGUAUGUAUUGUAUCCACUAGUUAUGCAUAAAUUGCUAUGUAUUGGUAACCUCUUUCCACUAAUAUAUUUUCUUUUUAUGUUAAAUAGAAUCCAGGUGGAAGAAGAGUGCAAGUUAUUCAUCAAGUUGGAUCCAGUCAAAAUUCACAAAUUACUGAUGGCCCAACACCUCCUUAAUAUAGAUGUCUAUGCUUAGAUUUGGUUUUUUGUCAUGAUCCUAAACUUUGAGGUUGUUAUUAGCGUUUUUUGGUGAUAUAUCCAACAACUUGAGAUGUAUUUCUGGUAACAACUUUUUUGUCUAUGAACAGCAUUUUUUGGUGAUAUAACAUGUCCCUC